This 10797-nucleotide long non-coding RNA is filed under the name Medicago truncatula (barrel medic). RNAcentral's name for it is "long non-coding RNA (MTRU_LNC000785)". Lineage: Eukaryota; Viridiplantae; Streptophyta; Magnoliopsida; Fabales; Fabaceae. The record is from RNAcentral.
UUUUGAUUUCAACUAGUGUGGUUUCUGCUGCUGCAGAUAGUUAUAUUUACUCUUCUCCUCCACCACCUUACGAGUAUAAGUCGCCACCGCCACCAUCACCUUCACCACCACCUCCUUAUGUUUACAAAUCGCCACCUCCUCCAUCCCCAUCACCUCCACCACCUUAUGAGCACAAGGCUCCUGCUUAUGAGUACAAGUCACCACCACCACCAACUCCUUCACCACCACCUCCUUAUGUGUACAAGUCACCACCACCGCCAUCUCCUUCACCACCACCUCCUUAUGUGUACAAGUCACCACCACCACCCUCACCUUCCCCACCACCACCAUACUACUACAAGAGUCCUCCACCACCUUCUCCUUCACCUCCACCUCCUUACUACUACAAAUCUCCUCCACCACCCUCACCUUCCCCACCACCACCAUACUAUUACAAGUCUCCUCCACCACCAUCUCCCUCACCUCCACCACCAUAUUACUACAAGUCUCCCCCACCACCCUCACCCUCCCCUCCACCCCCAUAUAUACACAAGGAUCCACCAUACUAUUACAAGUCCCCACCACCACCUUCACCAUCUCCUCCACCACCAUACUACUACAAAUCUCCCCCACCCCCUUCACCGUCUCCUCCACCACCAUACUACUACAAAUCUCCUCCUCCUCCAUCUCCUAUUCCCAAAACACCUUACUACUACAAAUCUCCCCCACCCCCUUCACCAUCUCCUCCACCACCAUACUACUACAAAUCUCCCCCACCCCCUUCACCGUCUCCUCCACCACCAUACUACUAUAAAUCUCCCCCACCACCGUCACCCUCUCCACCACCACCUUACUAUUACAAGUCUCCUCCCCCACCUUCACCAUCUCCUCCACCACCAUACUACUACAAAUCUCCUCCUCCUCCAUCUCCUAUUCCCCAUACACCUUACUAUUACAAAUCUCCCCCACCACCUUCACCAUCUCCUCCACCACCAUACUACUACAAAUCUCCUCCUCCUCCAUCUCCUAUUCCCCGUACACCUUACUAUUACAAAUCUCCCCCACCACCUUCACCAUCUCCUCCACCACCAUACUACUACAAAUCCCCUCCUCAUCCAUCUCCCAUUCCCCAUACACCUUACUAUUACACAUCUCCCCCACCACCUUCACCGUCUCCUCCACCACCAUAUUACUACAAAUCUCCUCCCCCUCCGUCUCCUAUUCCCCACACACCUUACUACUACAAGUCCCCACCACCACCAAAGGUCCUUCCACCACCAUACUAUUACAAUUCUCCUCCUCCACCUGUUGUGUAUCCUCACCCAUAUCCCUACCACCACUCACUUAUUGUGAGGGUAGUCGGUAAAGUCUACAGCUUCAGAUGUUAUGAUUGGAAUUAUCCUGCAAAGUCUCAUAACAAGAAACAUCUCAAAGGUACAUUACAUUUCUUAGGACCGGACCUCUUUAGAGUAAUGUGUUUAGAGAUAAUGCACAAUUUUUUAUUUUUUUAUCUCGUAAAGGUUUAUUUAUUAUAAUCACAAUUUCACUUUUGUCAAAAAGAAAAACAAUUUUACUAUAUAUAGUUUUAAUCAUUAACAUUUUGAUGUAAAAAGAAUACAAUUCUCUAUUACCUUUUUACUAUGAUAUAUAUACAAAGAUUAUUCAAAUCUAUAUAUCCAACCUAAUUUCCAUCCAAAAAAAUAGAAAACAUAGGGUGCUUUGAACGCCUGCAGCAUCACAUGAAUAAAUAAAAACAAUCAAUAAUCAACCUUGUUCUAAUUUAUUUUAGACAGCGAUUGUUAAGCAUACUGCUCUUUUAAUUACAUUUUUUUUAAAGAUGCUCUUUUAAUUAUAUUGUCCUAAUAUAAUAUGUGUCUUUAUAUAUUACUUGUCGUAAACUAAUUUUAUUAUGGGUGCAGGAGCUGUUGUUGAGGUGACAUGCAAAGCCGGGAGCAAAAUUGUCAAGGCUUAUGGAAAAACUAAGAACAAUGGAAAGUAUGCCAUCACAGUUAAGGACUUUGACUAUGUCAAAUAUGGUUCGACAGUGUGCAAGGCUGCCCUAUAUGCUCCACCUAAGGGUUCACCCUUCAACAUACCUACAAAGCUAAAUCAAGGAACAAAGUUGUACUUGAAAUCCAAAGACAAGUACGAGGUUGUGCUCAAGGCUAAGCCAUUUGCUUAUGCUUCAAAGAAACAUUUCAAAGAAUGUGAGAAGCCUAAGCCUUCACCAACUCCUUACUACUACAAAUCACCUCCACCUCCCUCACCAGUUUACAAAUACAACUCACCACCUCCACCGGUCCAUUAUUAUUCACCUCCAUACACCUACAAGUCACCUCCUCCCCCUGUGAAAGCGGCACCAACUCCUUACUACUACAAAUCACCUCCACCACCCGCACCGGUUUACAAGUACAACUCACCCCCUCCACCGGUCCAUUAUUAUUCACCACCAUAUACCUAUAAGUCACCUCCUCCCCCUGUGAAAGCGGCACCAACUCCUUACUACUACAAAUCACCUCCACCUCCCGCACCGGUUUACAAGUACAACUCCCCACCUCCACCGGUCCAUUAUUAUUCACCUCCAUAUACCUACAAGUCACCUCCUCCCCCUGUGAAAGUGGCACCAACUCCUUACUACUACAAAUCACCUCCACCACCCGCACCGGUUUACAAGUACAACUCACCACCUCCACCGGUCCAUUAUUAUUCUCCACCAUACUACUACAAGUCACCACCCCCACCAUCUCCAUCACCUCCUCCACCAUACUAUUUCAAAUACUAUUACAAGUCCCCACCUCCACCAUCACCAUCCCCUCCUCCACCUUAUUAUUACAAAUCUCCUCCUCCACCAAAACAAAUUUCACACCCUCCAUACUACUAUAAGUCACCACCCCCACCAUCACCAUCACCUCCUCCACCAUACUAUUAUAAGUCUCCACCUCCACCAUCACCAUCUCCCCCACCACCUUAUUAUUAUAAGUCACCACCCCCACCAUCCCCGUCCCCUCCUCCACCAUACUACUACAAGUCUCCACCUCCACCUAAAGAAAUAUCACAUCCUCCAUAUAACUAUAAGUCACCACCCCCACCAUCACCAUCCCCUCCCCCUCCAUACUAUUACAAAUCUCCUCCACCACCAUCACCAUCACCACCACCUCCCUACUAUUACAAAUCACCUCCACCACCAUCACCAUCACCUCCCCCUCCAUACUAUUACAAAUCUCCUCCACCACCAUCACCAUCACCACCACCUCCUUACUAUUACAAAUCACCUCCACCACCAUCCCCAUCACCACCACCUCCAUACUACUACAAAAGUCCCCCUCCACCAUCUCCAUCUCCUCCAUCCCCAUAUUACUACAAAUCUCCACCACCACCAUCACCAUCCCCACCCCCUCCCUACUAUUACAAAUCACCUCCACCUCCCUCACCAUCACCGCCACCUCCUUACUAUUACAAAUCACCUCCACCUCCCUCACCAUCACCGCCACCUCCUUACUAUUACAAAUCUCCCCCACCUCCAUCUCCAUCUCCACCACCUCCUUACCACUAUCAAAGUCCUCCUCCACCAUCUCCCAUUUCUCAUCCUCCCUACUACUACAAAUCCCCUCCACCACCAUCGCCGUCUCCUCCACCUCCUUACCACUAUGUGAGUCCUCCCCCACCAGUAAAGUCACCUCCACCACCAACUUAUAUCUAUGCUUCACCACCACCACCUCACUACAACUAAGCUCAAAGAGCAGAAGCUCCGUUCAUUAUAAAUCAUGUAAGUUUAUCAUCUUCAAUUUUCUGAAUGUGUGCGUGUGUAUUUGUUUUUUUGUUACAAGAUACUAACAAAAUUCUUUUCUUAUUUAUGUUCAGGUUUUAGUUUUCAUCUAGGAAUAAAGGCAAGCUCCAUUUGGAGUAAAGUGAAACUUCUAGCUUCGUGUCCGAAUUCGUUAAAUAAAUGUCGGGAUGUAUCGUCUUUGAGCUAUAAUAUUUCUGAUCCAGACAAUAUCUAUUUUGUUUCUUUGGUGGCAAUCUUGCACUUCCUGGUCUUAGUCUAUUCAAGUGACAGACAAAUCAAAAGGGAGAAGCGAGAUUAAUUUAUUUGUGAUCUCUUUGAUUUAUUUGUGCAUAUAUCAAUAUGAACGUGUAUGAUAUUUUUCUAUUUAUUGAAGAUUUUUUUACUGUAACCUGUUAUUGUGUUUGUCAAAAGGUGUUAAUAAAGAAUCACAUUCAAUUUCUGUUAAAUUAUCAGUAUUUGUUUCUUUCUAACAACUACCAUUCAUGCAAAUGUGGCUAUUAAAAAAAGCUCCAAUGACACAUAAAAAGCUUCCAAACAAUAUAUAAACAAAGAUGCAUUGUUUUCUGUUAAGAAGGGGACAGGGUUACGGUUACUUGUGUACCAAGUUAGUUAUCCAUGCUUUCUUGUUCAUAGGAUUUAUAUGGUGUAGUUGCACUUAGUUGCUAAAUGUAUGCAAGCUUUUCCUUUCUAUAAAUAAGCACACCUACUAUCAUUCUUCUCCACAUUCCUUUCUACUCUUCUAUCAUGAAUUGUUCAUCCACAUAAGAUGGUCACAGAGCACACCUAAUACUCUGCUACUGGUGUAUCAGUUCCUUUCCACCAGAAACUUAUGAUCUCUAAUUGAAAGAGAUCCUAAAGUUUUAAGAUUUCUACAAAAUACAUUAUUCUCAUUUUUGUACAAGUAUGAUACAAUUAUUCCCAAGUAUUAUUUAUUCUAAGGAAUAGAAUUUAGUUGUGGUUUCUCUAUUUAACCAACAUUUAUUUUUAAAUAACUAAAUUUAAAAAAAAAAUCCUGAAAUUAUUAAGUACAUACCUAACACAUUGUAAAAUUUUGUUCCCAAAGAAAAUAUUUUUGGCAAUAGAAUUUUCAGGAACUUCAUUCCUAGGAAUAUAAUUCUAUACUAAGAGAAGAGCUUAAGCAUUGAUACAUAACAAGACCAAUCCAUAUCCUAAUCACAAUCCUACUUUCACUAAAUACUUUCACUUAAGUGUGGUCUUGGAAAGGACAAAUGAAGAAAGACAUUCCAGAGGUAUGGUAAGGGACAAUAUCUGCAGUUAUGCACAUAUUGCAAGAUUGUGAGGAACUACCGGACUGAUUUGAUUCACCAAAAAAUUUGGAAUAAAUAUUUCAGCCCAGAACUCAGACAAUGACUGGAUUGGAACCUUUCAGCUUCUAAUAUCGGUACUGUCCAAGGAAAUAGUCAUUCUCUUUUUGGAGUAGCUGUGAAGGAUUUAUGGAAAGAUAGAACUAAGCUGGUCUUUUCUAGAAACACCGCGAUUGGAACUACUCUAUUUUGGCUUGUAGCCAAUCCGGCUAAGUUUAUUAACAAUGUAGUUUGUACUCAAGCUCACAGUCACGAUGUUGUCAGCAACAGUGGGCAUAUUGUUUAGGUAGCCUGGAAUUUUCCUCCCCAACACUUCUUCAAAGUGAAUAUGAUGGAUCUCUACGGGAUUAUGUUAGUUUCCAGGAUCGAACUCAGAACCUCCUGAUUAUAACUCCUUCAAUGUAUGUCCCUUACCCACGUGGGGCCUCGGCUGUAAUUGUUAACAUGGUAAAAUUUGGCUCUUCCAAUAAUGGUUUUAUCCAAACUCGAGGUUGUUUAUCGUCUCCAACAAUCAGAUUGGAGAAUACUAGUGGUUCAUGCAUUUGAACAAACCAACUGUUGUGCAGAUUUUCUAGUUGAUUUUGUUUUUCCUUUUUUGAGUAUUUUAUUAGCCAAUGAUAUAAGAGGUUGUAGCCUACCUCUUUUGAUUUCUUAAGACAAUCACUUUUGCAUUAGAAAAAAACGACCCUACAUAAAAUUAAUGAUUGAAUUAAGAUAUAACUUCAGUUUGAAAUAUUGUAAAAUUCUAUACCACCAAAAACUGAGAAUUUUAGAACCAUACAGGUUGGUGGAGUGGUCAUCCAGAUAACUUUAACAUAAUUAACAGUCCAAAAAGUAAAUAGCUUUAUCCUUUAUUUUCAAUCUGAUGUGAUUUACUCUUAUCUGUUAAACAUUAUAAUUAAGAAUCCAAAGGGAACACUCACCUAAUCUCUCUCUUUUUUCUAGCUUUUUCACUAAACCACUGUGUCUGUGGUUACCACAUUUCCUUAUGGAAUCAAUAUCCAAUUUAUGUUAAAAACCAUUUCUACAUUUUGUGUUAAAAAUGAUCUAAACAAAGAUGAUUUAUUUCUCUUAAAUUCAACAUAGAUCAUAUUUACAUGGUUCAAACUUUCUAUUACACGGCAUUGACUUAGUUGCUUCACAUGGGGACACAACUAAUGCAUAUAUUAUUUUAUAUGCUUAUAGUAAUUUUAACAAGUGGCAAUGGGGCAUAUGUUUUGUCAAAAAAACACAAAAAACAGGAGGCAUGUGCAACUGAAGUCACUGCCAGCUUGGCACUAAGAUAUAGUAAAAUAAUUGACAUUUGAAGAAAACAAAGACGUUGCUACAUUUCUAUUCAAACAAGCGACAUCAAUAUCAGACAAUGGUGCUACAUUUAAUAAUACUACAGCUAUCCCCAUAAGCACCUCUUAGAAAGAAAAAAAAAUAUCCAUUAAAUUAAUGUUGGAAGAGUUAGCAACAUGUCCUCUCCCAAAAAAACUCAUGUUUGAUUCCUAGAGUCGUCCAUUUCGAAAGAAGCUCAACCCUGAUAAUAAAAACCUAGAUGUUAUGCUGCAGACUUAAAGAUCAAUUUCAUAAUGGAUCCAAAGGGCCUAAGCUGUGUGGGAUACUUAAGGGGGUAUAUUGAGGCUAAGGGUCAAAGAUCUUAAUUAUGGUCGGUUAAAAAAAGAAGAAAAAAAAAUUAUCUCUAAAUAUAAAGUCAACAAUAUUUCAAAUUGCAAGAUACAUUUAUUUAUUUUUUAAAUAUGUAUAUACCUCUUAUUAAUACUUACUAAUUUGUUUUGAGUGAUAAAAAGUUACGAGUUAGACAGAUCAGCACAUAAAAAAAGUAUUUGAAAAACAUCUACCAACAAAAUAAACACAUUAAAAACAAUACUACUUUUUUACAAUACUGUAUGUGAAAAUGACAAAAUCUUGAAAAAGAUGGAGGUAACAUGUACUCUUUUUUUUUUAGAGGGGAGCAUGUACUUUUCCACUAACAAUGUUGAUAAGAAACAUAUAAAAUACUAUUAGAGAAAGAAAAAAAAUAAUAAAUAAAGAAAUAUAUAAAAUACUGAGGAAUGACUCACUCAUGUCAAAUUUUAGCAAGGGAGAAGUGAUAUCACAUCAUUUUAGAAGAGGAAUGAGAAUAGAUAGAUCUAAUUUUUCUAGUAAGUUUGAAUAGUAGAAUCAUACUUCUUUGUCUUUUGUGAAAAUUUCAUAUUAUGGGAUCUAUUACUAGAAUACAGGUGAUUUUAUUCUGGAAGAUUGACUUUUUAUUAAAAUAAAAUAAAAGUACAUUUUUUAUUUCCAAAUGCUUAGUUGUUCAUUUAUAAAUAUUACAUUAUCCAACAGCACCAAACCCUAUUUCAUAACGGUACUCUGCACGUUUCAUUCAUUUACUGGUGCCUUAGUUUUUUGUUACAAACAGACAUUGAUCAGAGGAACAAAUGUAGAGACAAAUUGAAGAUAAUAUAUCACAUAAUAUUGUAGACACACCUUCACAUACAAAUGGGGUAAAGUCCCUCAUAGUAGUAUUAGAAAUAACACUUAGAGUAAAAUUUUGCUAAAUUUAACAUGAAAAUAAGUGUAAUGUAUUUUAUAGGCAGCUAUACAUAAUUAUUAAUUAGAACAAUUUUUUACACUGUCAAACAAAAAUUGAACAAUUUUUUACUAGCUUUAUGCUUUAUGAUGUUUUGAUUCCAUGUGCACAUUUCAAUUUUAGAACUAUUCCUUUCUAUGUUACUGAAAUAAUUCUAUCAUUAGGCAUUGACAUUUCCAUUAUGCGUGCACGUUAAAGUGUUUUCCCAAACAGAGAAAUAUUAAGAAAGGUUAAACUUUUGACUUAAAGACACAACUAAAAUAAGAUCCAAGGAAAACCCCAUUGAUUAUUUCUUGCACAAAAUUAAAAACCCCAUUGAUUAUUUCUUGCACAAAAUUAAAAUGCUAAUAAUUUUUCCUGGUCUAUAUUUUUCUCCUUCCGGGAAAUGGCAACAUCACAUGUUCAUCUCAUAAUUGAGAAAACACAUGUCUGGGAAAAUAUCUUAAAGAAAAGGCAGUAAAGUAAUAAAAAGUGCACCAAAUAGAGAUUAACUAGUACUCUUUGCAUGUCAACUAAGUGGUAUAAUUAUGUAUAUCACAUUCUUAAUAUUGAUUAUCUUGAUUGCACGAUAAGCCCCUCAAAUUGCUCAAUCGAUGAUUGCUUGAUAAGCCCAUCAAAUUGCCCAAUCGAUCGAAUCGUAACUUUCGAUAGACAUUUUUUUUAAGAAAACCCAAUUGGAUCAUAACUCCCCAUAGUCAUUUAUUUGAAAUUGUGAGCAAUUUGAUAACUUAUUGAGCAAUCACCAUUGAUUUUAGUCUCAAUUUAUCCUAAUGUUGUAACCCUGGAAUAAUGGAACAGUGAGUAAAUUUGGUUUCUCCGUCUCAAAAUAAGUGUCACAAUUUAACCAUGUGCACUACUCAUCAAAUCUACUUUGACAACAUUUUUUUUACUAAUAUAUAAAGACAAUGUUAGUACAUUACAUGUUCGAUUUGUCUUAGUUAAUGUUUUUAAAAUAUCGACUUUAUUAUAAUUUUUCUUAAUAGACAAUCAAAAAUAUCAAUUGUCAAAAUUGUGUAUUGAUAUGUAUGAAAAUCAAACUAUAACACUUACUUUGAGACGAAGAGAAUAACUAUUAAAAACUAAUGUUCAAAUAGAAAGAAAAGAAAACAAAGAUUCCAUACAAAGCUUGCAAAAUAGCUACAAUCAUAACCUAGAACAAAAAUCAUGACCACACACUAUAUCCAUUUUCCUUUUCCUAAAAAGCAAUUGAAGAUAAAAAAAAAAAAAAUAAUAAAUAAAAAAAAAAAAAAAAAAAAAAAAAANACCACCAUACUACUACAAAUCCCCACCUCCACCAUCGCCUUCUCCUCCACCACCAUACUACUACAAAUCCCCACCUCCACCAUCGCCUUCUCCUCCACCACCAUACUACUACAAAUCCCCACCUCCACCAUCGCCUUCUCCUCCACCACCAUACUACUACAAAUCCCCACCUCCACCAUCGCCUUCUCCUCCACCACCAUACUACUACAAAUCCCCACCUCCACCAUCGCCUUCUCCUCCACCACCAUACUACUACAAAUCCCCACCUCCACCAUCGCCUUCUCCUCCACCACCAUACUACUACAAAUCCCCACCUCCACCAUCGCCUUCUCCUCCACCACCAUACUACUACAAAUCCCCACCUCCACCAUCGCCUUCUCCUCCACCACCAUACUACUACAAAUCCCCACCUCCACCAUCGCCUUCUCCUCCACCACCAUACUACUACAAAUCCCCACCUCCACCAUCGCCUUCUCCUCCACCACCAUACUACUACAAAUCCCCACCUCCACCAUCGCCUUCUCCUCCACCACCAUACUACUACAAAUCCCCACCUCCACCAUCGCCUUCUCCUCCACCACCAUACUACUACAAAUCCCCACCUCCACCAUCGCCUUCUCCUCCACCACCAUACUACUACAAAUCCCCACCUCCACCAUCGCCUUCUCCUCCACCACCAUACUACUACAAAUCCCCACCUCCACCAUCGCCUUCUCCUCCACCACCAUACUACUACAAAUCCCCACCUCCACCAUCGCCUUCUCCUCCACCACCAUACUACUACAAAUCCCCACCUCCACCAUCGCCUUCUCCUCCACCACCAUACUACUACAAAUCCCCACCUCCACCAUCGCCUUCUCCUCCACCACCAUACUACUACAAAUCCCCACCUCCACCAUCGCCUUCUCCUCCACCACCAUACUACUACAAAUCCCCACCUCCACCAUCGCCUUCUCCUCCACCACCAUACUACUACAAAUCCCCACCUCCACCAUCGCCUUCUCCUCCACCACCAUACUACUACAAAUCCCCACCUCCACCAUCGCCUUCUCCUCCACCACCAUACUACUACAAAUCCCCACCUCCACCAUCGCCUUCUCCUCCACCACCAUACUACUACAAAUCCCCACCUCCACCAUCGCCUUCUCCUCCACCACCAUACUACUACAAAUCCCCACCUCCACCAUCGCCUUCUCCUCCACCACCAUACUACUACAAAUCCCCACCUCCACCAUCGCCUUCUCCUCCACCACCAUACUACUACAAAUCCCCACCUCCACCAUCGCCUUCUCCUCCACCACCAUACUACUACAAAUCCCCACCUCCACCAUCGCCUUCUCCUCCACCACCAUACUACUACAAAUCCCCACCUCCACCAUCGCCUUCUCCUCCCCCACCUUACUAUUACAAAUCCCCACCGCCACCUUCACCAUCUCCCCCACCACCCUACUACUAUAAAUCACCCCCACCACCUUCACCAUCUCCUCCACCACCAUACUACUACAAAUCACCCCCACCGCCAUAUGAACACAAGACUAAACCAUACUAUUACAAGUCUCCUCCACCACCAUAUGAACACAAGACUAAACCAUACUAUUACAAGUCCCCACCACCACCUUCACCAUCUCCUCCACCACCAUACUAUUACAAGUCCCCACCACCACCUUCACCGUCUCCACCCCCACCAUACUACUACAAAUCACCUCCUCCUCCAUCACCUAUUCCCCAUACACCUUACUACUACAAGUCCCCACCACCACCUAAGGUUCUUCCACCACCAUACUAUUACAACUCUCCUCCUCCACCUGUUGUGUAUCAUCACCCUCAUCCCUACCACCAUGCAUUGAUCGUGAAGGUAGUGG